ACCCUGGUGGCGGAAUUGGUAGACGCGCAAGGUUGAGGGCCUUGUGUCCAUUGCGGACGUGCUGGUUCGAUUCCAGUUCAGGGUA
Molecule: transfer RNA, 85 nt
Filed under: Crocinitomicaceae bacterium
Lineage: Bacteria; Pseudomonadati; Bacteroidota; Flavobacteriia; Flavobacteriales; Crocinitomicaceae
Description: tRNA-Leu
Rfam family: tRNA
About the family: Transfer RNA (tRNA) molecules are approximately 80 nucleotides in length. Their secondary structure includes four short double-helical elements and three loops (D, anti-codon, and T loops).
Source: RNAcentral